RNAcentral lists this transfer RNA (72 nucleotides) under Camelus bactrianus (Bactrian camel). It matches the Rfam family "tRNA". From Rfam's summary of the family: Transfer RNA (tRNA) molecules are approximately 80 nucleotides in length. Their secondary structure includes four short double-helical elements and three loops (D, anti-codon, and T loops). Further hydrogen bonds mediate the characteristic L-shaped molecular structure. tRNAs have two regions of fundamental functional importance: the anti-codon, which is responsible for specific mRNA codon recognition, and the 3' end, to which the tRNAs corresponding amino acid is attached (by aminoacyl-tRNA synthetases). tRNAs cope with the degeneracy of the genetic code in two manners: having more than one tRNA (with a specific anti-codon) for a particular amino acid; and 'wobble' base-pairing, i.e. permitting non-standard base-pairing at the 3rd anti-codon position. The record is from Rfam by way of RNAcentral. RNAcentral also lists the same sequence under 1 other name. Lineage: Eukaryota; Metazoa; Chordata; Mammalia; Artiodactyla; Camelidae.
GAAGGUAUAGCUCAGUGGCAGAGUGCAUGCUUAGCAUGCACAAGGUCCUGGGUUUAAUCCCCAGUACCUCCA